CGGAGGGUGCAAGCGUUAUCCGGAUUCACUGGGUUUAAAGGGUGCGUAGGUGGGCAAGUAAGUCAGUGGUGAAAUCUCCGGGCUUAACCCGGAAACUGCCAUUGAUACUAUUUGUCUUGAAUACUGUGGAGGUCAGCGGAAUAUGUCAUGUAGCGGUGAAAUGCUUAGAUAUGACAUAGAACACCAAUUGCGAAGGCAGCUGGCUACACAAAUAUUGACACUGAGGCACGAAAGCGUGGGGAUCAAACAGGAUUAGAUACCCUGGUAGUCCACGCCCUAAACUAUGGAUACUCGAUAUUUGCGAUAAACUGCAAGUGUCUGAGCGAAAGCAUUAAGUAUCCACCUGGGAAGUACGAUCGCAAGAUUG
Molecule: ribosomal RNA, 367 nt
Filed under: uncultured organism
Description: bacterial SSU rRNA
Rfam family: Bacterial small subunit ribosomal RNA
Source: RNAcentral